This is a long non-coding RNA of Oncorhynchus tshawytscha (Chinook salmon), 382 nucleotides long. Lineage: Eukaryota; Metazoa; Chordata; Actinopteri; Salmoniformes; Salmonidae. The record is from Ensembl.
UAACAAUCGGUUGGGUAUCUUUUACUCUCAUGCUGGGUUGACCUAGUAACUGGUUAAUUUUGAAUGUAAUCCUUAGGUUAAUUUCAGCAUACGUGGCUUAUUAGAGACGUGGCUUUCAGCUAGAUCUUAUUGGCCACCUGUGAGAGUAGAAACAUCAAACUGUUCCUAGGUCAGUGUCUAGGGACAACUUAACUCAUUAAACACCAAACUGUUCCUAGGUCAGUAUCUAGGGACAACUUAACCCAUUAAACAUCAAACUGUUCCUAGGUCAGUAUCUAGGGACAACUUAACCCAUUAAACAUCAAACUGUUCCUAGGUCAGUGUUUAGGGACAACUUAACUCAUUAAACUGUUCCCAGGUCAGUGUCUAGGGACAACUUAAC